Molecule: small RNA, 876 nt
Filed under: Pongo abelii (Sumatran orangutan)
Lineage: Eukaryota; Metazoa; Chordata; Mammalia; Primates; Hominidae
Description: retained intron
Source: RNAcentral
GUCCAGCCCAUGGUAGCUGCUCAGUAAGUGGCCCCAGAUGCUCUUGUGUUUCUGUCUUUUAGGACAAGGUCAGGGAGCUUCAGAACCAGGGCAGAGAUGUGGGCCUGGAGGUGUUGGAUAAUGCCCUGCUAGCUCUGCAAGGUGAGAGGGCUGGGCUGGGGUUGGAGCCAACCUUUGCCUUCCUGGCUUUAUUGACUGCUUAGCACAGAGGCCAUACCAAGAAGAAGGUGUGGAAGGUGUGAUAUUUGUGUGCCAUAAUUUUAAGUUUGGUAUCUUGCCCUCCUCCUACCUACCACAAGGCUCCAUGGGCUAGAGACAAGGGCAUCUUCUCCCACUUGCAGAGUAAGACGUGCUCAGGGCUUGUUCUAGUCCCUGAAUAAGGCUUUAGUCCAGGUUUGAGGGAUGCUGGGACCUGGAUACUUGGUCACUGGCUCCCUGGGCCCAGGCCCCACUGCAGCCCAGGUACUACAGGCCGGCGUGGCAGAUGACCUGAGGAAACUGCCCUUCAUGACCAGUGCUGUGAUGGAGGUGUUUGGCGUGUCUGGCUGCCGUGUGACCCGCUGUGGCUACACAGGAGAGGAUGGUGUGGAGGUACUGUGACUAGUGGCUGCCCCUCGCCCUCUCUGAAGAAGAAUGUGGCGAUGGGUUAUGUGCCCUGCGAGUACAGUCGUCCAGGGACAAUGCUGCUGGUAGAGGUGCGGCGGAAGCAGCAGAUGGCUGUAGUCAGCAAGAUGCCCUUUGUGCCCACAAACUACUAUACCCUCAAGUGAAGCUGGCUCAGGGUGGGGCUGUCCCUUCCAGAAGUUUUGCCCCUACAAGGGGUUAGUCAAGAAGCUGAGGCAGAACUCACUGGGGGUGGGCAGUUAAGGUGGAGGC